UUCCAGAUUUUAAUACGAGCCGUAUCUGCCACCUGAUAUAAAUUAAAGGGUCGCGGUAUUUUGACCGUGCAAAGGUAGCAUAAUCAUUAGUCUUUUAAUUGAGGGCUGGAAUGAAUGGUUUGACGAAAUAUUAACUGUCUCUUUAUAAUUAAUAGAAUUUAACUUCUGAGUUAAAAGGCUUAGAUACAUAUAAAAGACGAGAAGACCCUAUAGAUCUUUAUAUAAAAGUGGUUUUAUUUUGCCUGGAAGUCUUGUUAAUAGAAUCAUAUUUAUAUUGUGUUGGGGUGACAUGAAGAUAUAAUAAACUCUUUAUAACUAUAACAUUGGUUUAUGGGUUGUUGAUCCACUAAUAGUGAUUAUAAGAUAAAGUUACCUUAGGGAUAACAGCGUAAUUUUUUUUAAGAGUUCUUAUCGACAAAAAAGAUUGCGACCUCGAUGUUGGAUUAAGGAAUAUGAUUAGGUGUAGAAGCUUAAUUAAUAAGUCUGUUCGACUUUUAAAUCCUUACGUGAUCUGAUUUCCCAGACCGG
This 528-nucleotide ribosomal RNA is filed under the name Atlanticus sinensis. Its description in RNAcentral is "partial 16S large subunit ribosomal RNA". It matches the Rfam family "Bacterial large subunit ribosomal RNA", at positions 1832 to 2619 of the family's 2925-position model. The record is from RNAcentral. Lineage: Eukaryota; Metazoa; Arthropoda; Insecta; Orthoptera; Tettigoniidae.